GCCUUAAGUUUUGCCUGCAGCGAGUGAAAUGCAUGCUCGGACGGGUUGAGAUCAGGUGACUGACUUGGCCAUUGCAGAGUAUUCCACUUCUUUGCUUUAAAAAAUUCCUGGGUCGCUUUCGCAAUAUGUUUUGGGUCACUGUCCAUCUGUAAAGUGAAGCGCCGUCCAAUUAACUUCACUGUAUUUGGAUGAAUCUGAGCAGACAUUAUAUUCCUACGUGCUUCAGAAUUCAUCCGGCUGCUUCUGUCUUCUGUCACAUCACCACUGGUAGCCAAAGGAAGCCAUGCAUGCCCAUGCCAACACACUGCCUCCACCCUGUUUCACAGAUGAUGUGGUAUGCUUUGGAUCAUGAGCUGAUCAUGAGCUGUUCCAACCCUUUUCCAUACUUUUUUCUUCCCAUCAUUCUGGUACAUGUUGAUCUUAGUUUCAUCUGUCCAAAGAAUGCUUUUCCAGAACUGGCUUUUUUUUUUUUUUGAUGUUUUUUGGCAAAGUCUAAUCUGGCUUUUCUAUUCUUGAGGCUUAUAAAUGGUUUGCACCUUGUGGUGAACCCUCUGUAUUUGCUCUUGUGAAGUCUUCUCUUUAUGGUAGACUUGGAUAAUGAUAUGCCUACCUCCUGAAGCGUGUUCUUCACUUGGCUGGAUGUUGCGACGGGGUUUUUCUUCACCAUGGAAAAGAUCCUACGAUCAUCCACCACUGUUGUCUUCCAUGGACGUCCAGGCCUUUUCGUGUUGCGGCGCUCACCACCUAAAGAUGGCCUGUUUCACUUGCAUUGAGAGCUCCUUUGACCACAUGCUGAAGGUUCACAGCGACAGCUUCCAAAUGCGAAUGCCACACCUGGAAUCAACUCCAGACCUUUUCACGUGCUUAGCUGAUGAAAAAAUAACAAAAGGAAUCGCCCACACCUGUCCAUGAAACAGCUUUUGAGUUAACUGUCCGAUUACUUUUGGUCCCUUGAAAAAGAGGGGGCUACAUAUUAAAGAGCUGUAGUUCCUAAACCUUUCCUCCAAUGUGGAUGUGAAUACAUUUAAAUUAUAAGAAGAGAGACUACACUUUAAGCCCAUGUUCAUUAUUUAACUGUUUUGGUAGACAAAUAAAAUAACUAAACUUG
Ictalurus furcatus (blue catfish) is the source of this 1108-nucleotide long non-coding RNA. RefSeq lists it as uncharacterized. Lineage: Eukaryota; Metazoa; Chordata; Actinopteri; Siluriformes; Ictaluridae. The record is from RefSeq and is a predicted model, not a curated record. The transcript is spliced from 2 exons.